GAUGAACGCUGGCGGCGUGCCUAACACAUGCAAGUCGAGCGGCAGCGCGGGGUGCUUGCACCCUGUCGGCGAGCGGCGGACGGCUGAGUAACGCGUGGGAACGUGCCCCAAAGUGAGGAAUAACUGCCCGAAAGGGUAGCUAAUACCGCAUAUUAUCUUCGGAUCAAAGGAUUUAUCCGCUUUGGGAGCGGCUCGCGUCGGAUUAGGUAGUUGGUGAGGUAAUGGCUCACCAAGCCGACGAUCCGUAGCUGGUCUGAGAGGAUGACCAGCCAGACUGGAACUGAGACACGGUCCAGACUCCUACGGGAGGCAGCAGUGAGGAAUCUUCCACAAUGGGCGAAAGCCUGAUGGAGCAACGCCGCGUGCAGGACGAAGGCCUUCUGGUUGUAAACUGCUUUUAUAAGUGAGGAAUAUGACGGUAACUGAUGAAUAAGGAUCGGCUAACUACGUG
RNAcentral lists this ribosomal RNA (451 nucleotides) under uncultured bacterium. RNAcentral describes it as "partial 16S ribosomal RNA". It matches the Rfam family "Bacterial small subunit ribosomal RNA", at positions 28 to 507 of the family's 1533-position model. The record is from RNAcentral.